This 253-nucleotide ribosomal RNA is filed under the name uncultured bacterium. RNAcentral's name for it is "partial 16S ribosomal RNA". It matches the Rfam family "Bacterial small subunit ribosomal RNA", at positions 524 to 776 of the family's 1533-position model. The record is from RNAcentral.
UACGAAGGGGGCUAGCGUUGCUCGGAAUCACUGGGCGUAAAGCGCACGUAGGCGGAUUGCUAAGUCAGGGGUGAAAUCCUGGAGCUCAACUCCAGAACUGCCUUUGAUACUGGCGACCUUGAGUCCGGGAGAGGUGAGUGGAACUGCGAGUGUAGAGGUGAAAUUCGUAGAUAUUCGCAAGAACACCAGUGGCGAAGGCGACUCACUGGCCCGAUACUGACGCUGAGGCGCGAAAGCGUGGGGAGCAAACAGG